GGGGGGGGGGGGGGGGGGGGGGGGGGGGGGGGGGGGGGGGGGGGGGAGGGGGGGCUGGCGCCUGGGACGUUAGCGGCGGACGGGUGAGCGACGCGUGGGGAACGUACCUAUACGAGUGGGAUCACUUCGGGACACCGGAGCGAAUACCGGCUACUAUAUUGAUCCGCAUGUUUCAAUAGUGAAAGUCGGUCGUGCUGUCCCUUAUAUCUGGAUCCGCGCCGCAUUAGCUAGUUGGUAAGGUAACGGCUUACCAAGGCAACGAUGCGUAGCCGACCUGAGAGGGUGAUCGGCCACACUGGAACUGAGACACGGUCCAGACUCCUACGGGAGGCAGCAGUAGGGAAUCUUCCGCAAAGGGCGAAAGCCUGACGGAGCAACGCCGCGUGAGUGAUGAAGGUCUUCGGAUCGUAAAACUCUGUUAUUAGGGAAGAACAAAUGUGUAAGUAACUAUGCACGUCUUGACGGUACCUAAUCAGAAAGCCACGGCUAACUACGUG
Molecule: ribosomal RNA, 497 nt
Filed under: uncultured bacterium
Lineage: Bacteria
Description: partial 16S ribosomal RNA
Rfam family: Bacterial small subunit ribosomal RNA
Source: RNAcentral